UAUUGUUCUCAUGUCACAAUAUGCCA
RNAcentral lists this non-coding RNA (26 nucleotides) under Mus musculus (house mouse). Lineage: Eukaryota; Metazoa; Chordata; Mammalia; Rodentia; Muridae. The record is from RNAcentral.